This 53-nucleotide transfer RNA is filed under the name Perinereis camiguinoides. RNAcentral describes it as "tRNA-Arg". Lineage: Eukaryota; Metazoa; Annelida; Polychaeta; Phyllodocida; Nereididae. The record is from RNAcentral.
GAUUGAUAAAGUUUGGUUUCGGCCCAAAACAAGGCAUUAUUUAUGCCCAAUCU